This is a long non-coding RNA of Crotalus tigris (Tiger rattlesnake), 1128 nucleotides long. RefSeq lists it as uncharacterized. The transcript has 3 exons. The record is from RefSeq and is a predicted model, not a curated record. Lineage: Eukaryota; Metazoa; Chordata; Lepidosauria; Squamata; Viperidae.
AUUCUACUACGACCAGAAAUUUAAUUUAACAAGAGAGAAAUGCUCUGAAUUACAUGUGGAUUGCAAAACUUUCAUUCCCCUCCUAGAAAUGGGAGGCAGAGACAAGCAAAGGAAUUACAAAGCUGCACAGCAAACUGAAGAAAAUGAAAACCGAUUCAACUGAUUACUGAAAAUGCUUUGUAUGUACCAGUGCAAACUGCUGGAUUGAUACCAAUGAAAUGUGCCGUUAUGAAGUAACCUUGGAAAAACACCAUUAUUUUAUCACAGAUGGAGCUGAAUUUUCUGUGAAGGGGACUGUCAAGGAGAGUGGCCUAUAUGAAGUGGACGGUAGAAUGGAAAGGCUACAUCAGCAAAAAAAUCCUGAUAUAAGAAGUGUUCGUAUUUGUGGUGUUAAAAACAAGGCCAUCCAGUCUCGAAUGCAGUGUCUUAACCUGAGAAGAAGGAUUUAUGAAGAGACCUGAAGUUAGAUCUUUAUGACAGGGAAAAUAAAUCUAUAACCUGUUUAAAAAAGAAAGUGAACUAACCCCUCUUUUUCAGGAAAAGAAAAGCAAGACACAACAGUCUGUCGAUAGGAUUCAAAAGAUAGAUAUGGAAUCAUCAUGACCAAAUAUCCAGGAGGGAUUGAUAUCUAUUGGUAGCUUCUCCAGAUAUAUAUUCACAUAUUUCAUCGGUGAGAAAAAUCAAUUGUUUUAAAAAUCAUGUUGCAACAGUCAGCAAAUCAUUGGAUUGGAGAAUCUCAGGUUCUGCAUUCUGAUAAGGGAAACACAUCUUUGGAGAAUAAUACAGAUGGUCCUCACUUAACGGCUCUGAGACUGGAUUUUCCAUUGCUUAGCAAUGACAGUUCCAGUAAAUUCCAGGUGUAAUUAUUAGGAAGAAAAAAAUGCCUUUUCCAGUCCUCUAGUAUUGUACCCGUCCUAUAUGAUUUGUCAAAGGUCACAGAAAGGGACACCAGGAUGACAGCCACAAGCUCUUUCAGGACUCUUGCAAGUAAUAGGUCUGAUGCCUCUUAUUACAACUGCAAAACAUGAUCUCUGUGCCUCUUAAGGCAAGGAUCCGGCUGCACACAUUGGCACAUUAGAAGCAAAAUUAAUAUCAGCUUUGUGUUGCCAUUCCAGCCCCCUACUAACU